RNAcentral lists this ribosomal RNA (365 nucleotides) under uncultured eukaryote. RNAcentral describes it as "partial 18S ribosomal RNA". It matches the Rfam family "Eukaryotic small subunit ribosomal RNA", at positions 592 to 976 of the family's 1831-position model. The record is from RNAcentral.
CAAUAGCGUAUAUUUAAGUUGUUGCAGUUAAAAAGCUCGUAGUCGGAUUUUGGCUGAGAACGAACGGUCCGCCGUUAGGUGUGCACUGUUUGGUCUCAGCUUCCUGGUGAGGAGGUGUGCUUCACGGCCACUUAGUCACCGUGGUUACUUUGAAAAAAUUAGAGUGUUCAAAGCGGGCUUACGCUUGAAUAUAUUAGCAUGGAAUAACACCAUAGGACUCCUGUCCUAUUUCGUUGGUCUCGGGACGGGAGUAAUGAUUAAGAGGAACAGUUGGGGGCAUUCGUAUUUCAUUGUCAGAGGUGAAAUUCUUGGAUUUAUGAAAGACGAACUUCUGCGAAAGCAUUUUCCAAGGAUGUUUUCAUUGA